GAUGAACGCUAGCGAUAGGCUUAACACAUGCAAGUCGAGGGGCAGCAUGGUCUUAGCUUGCUAAGACUGAUGGCGACCGGCGCACGGGUGCGUAACGCGUAUGCAACUUGCCUCACAGAGGGGGAUAACCCGUCGAAAGACGGACUAAUACCGCGUACACUUGGGAUAGGGCAUCCUGACCCAAGGAAAUGAAAUUCGCUGUGAGAUAGGCAUGCGUCCCAUUAGCUAGUUGGUGGGGUAACGGCUCACCAAGGCGACGAUGGGUAGGGGAACUGAGAGGUUGAACCCCCACACUGGUACUGAGACACGGACCAGACUCCUACGGGAGGCAGCAGUGAGGAAUAUUGGUCAAUGGGCGAGAGCCUGAACCAGCCAAGUCGCGUGAAGGAUGACUGUCUUAUGGAUUGUAAACUUCUUUUAUACGGGAAUAACAAGAGCCACGUGUGGCUCCCUGCAUGUACCGUAUGAAUAAGCAUCGGCUAACUCCGUG
RNAcentral lists this ribosomal RNA (490 nucleotides) under uncultured bacterium. Its description in RNAcentral is "partial 16S ribosomal RNA". It matches the Rfam family "Bacterial small subunit ribosomal RNA", at positions 28 to 507 of the family's 1533-position model. The record is from RNAcentral.